Molecule: long non-coding RNA, 1053 nt
Filed under: Crocodylus porosus (Australian saltwater crocodile)
Lineage: Eukaryota; Metazoa; Chordata; Crocodylia; Crocodylidae
Description: lncRNA (ENSCPRG00005001401.1)
Source: RNAcentral
CUGGCCCAGAGGAGAGGCUGUGCUCACCCAGACAGCACAAUCCUUUUGCACACUGUUGCCAAGGGGCCUUCUAAAGCAGACUGAAGAUUGGCGGCACAAGGAGAAGCCCACGGGGCACUUAUGCAGGGAUCCAUCAAUUCCAGAUCACAACCUGGCUACUGUGUCUAUUUUCGCCUGAAGCAGGUGGGAGCUGCCUGCCGGCUGCACUUCUGGAGCAGCCGUCUGCUGAGGGAGCGGCGAGUCUGCGUGGAGUGCCAGGGGGAUGCUGUGGGCAGCCGGAGCCGAUGUGAAGGGGAUGGGCUGCAGGGAGCUAGGACAUUCUGGACUGCUGCCUCCAUCGCUGGGUGCCAAGGCUCAUGGGUCCAAGAGUCUUUGCAAGAAACCUGCACGUGUCCUCCAUUGUCCCUCUUAUUUGUGUAACCGUCUGACAACUUGGGUCAUGAACCUUAAAAGAGGAAGUGAGAGAGUGACACAUAUAAGCUGGCAACAUGGCGGUUUACGGCUUUCUGUCACUAGGACAUGCCGGAGGAUGAAGGAAAAGCCUCCUCUGAAUGAAGUUCUUGCUGCCCUUCUUACCUCAUUUCACUUUCUUUAUAAACCCACACUUUCUGUGAAACUGUUUUUUUCAUCACAAAGCUAUGUAUUAUUUCAAAGCACAAGAAUGUCUCAUUCUUUUAAACUUUAUACCUCUGAAACCUUGCUAUCUACCUCCAGCAUUGCAGAUAUUGAAGGCAACUCUUUUUCUGUGUUUCUCACUACUUUGCAGAUUUGUAAUAAAAGAAGAGAGAGAAGAAUAUUGCAAUAUCCUUCUUUUAAAAGAUUGUUUUUUUAAAUGCAAGGAAGAAGAAAAUUGCUAGUGCCACUGCACCAAAGGUAAUGAUGAAAUACAUGGGAAAGAGGUUAAAUCUGAGAGAGGAAGUGAUGUCAUGGUUACAUGGGAUAACAUGGACAUAGCGUCAUAGUUAGCGGUGGAGUCAUUUCUGAAAAAUGAGUCAUUGAACUGAUUUCCCAGGAGGAAAGUGGGAAUAAAAUAGGCAUGUUUAGUGUUAGCCA